Molecule: long non-coding RNA, 2962 nt
Organism: Trichomycterus rosablanca
Lineage: Eukaryota; Metazoa; Chordata; Actinopteri; Siluriformes; Trichomycteridae
Exons: 3
Source: RefSeq, a predicted model, not a curated record
UUGAUGUUCUAUUAAGCAAUAGAACACGAGAGGGCGUGUGUUAUCACGAAUUCGGUCGCAGGCACGAACCGAAGGUGAGUGCCGUAGAUCAUCACAGCCGUGAUGUUAUUCGUGAUAACACACGACCAUGGGCGGAUCUACCGGGGUGGCAUAGGGUGGCAAAUGCCACCCUAAAAGAAAGCCUUGCCACCCCUGCUGCCACCCCAGUUGGCAGCAACAAAUUAAAAGAAAAGUUAUGGCCAAUUUGCAACGCUGCCACUCUGACAGUCAAAAACUGUUUGCUUUCCCUCUCAUACAUCUGCCACUCAUCACCUGUGUCUUACCUUAAUGCCUUUCCUUUGAUAAUGAUAAUGCCCCACCUACAGUAGUGUUACCAUACUUUUAUCUCCUAUUAAUGAGAUUACAUUGUAUGGUCACUUAUUCCUAAUAUGAACUGUUUCACAUGAAACCUUAAAUGCAAGACAUUGAUUGCGUGAGAUUAAGUUUGUCUGUAUGAGUUUGUAAAUGGCAGCCCGUGCCCUUUUGUAGUGUGUACAUACUAUUUCUCAUCAAACUGUUAUAACUGUGAUUAAAUUCAGUAUAAAUACGUCUGCCAUAUGUUGCCACCCCUCAAAAAUUCCUGCCCCCCUCUCGCCACCCCAUAAAUAUUUUUCUAGAUCCGCCCCUGCACACGACCUCAAGUGUUCUAUUGCUUUUAUACAACAGUUUUCACAAAAUAAAGAAAGAAAAUAAAUCAAAAAAGCCCUAAAUUUAAUAAUAAAUAUGCUUUAAUAUUGACAAUACCUUCCGCCUAAAAGUAGUUCCACAACAAAUAUAAAGUUUAACACUACAAAGCAGACAUUCCAAGUUGCAAAAACUCAUUUCAGGGAGGUAAGAACAACAACAAGAAAAAGGUAAGAACCUCCGAAGGGAAAAAAAGAAAUAAAAAAACCUCUUGCACACACCAGAGGAUACAGGUGAUAACAGAACUCUUAGAAGCUGCUAACUGGGCUAUUAUGCUAACUGUUCGCGUUACAAACACAUUAAAGUUCCCUACAUAGUGCACUAGAUUGUGUAUCAAAUCACGGAUUUAUGUUCGCUACACAGUGCACUAGAUAGCGAAUUAGACAAUUGGUUAUGUUCCCUAUACAGUGCGAUAGAUUGUAUAUCAGAUCACGGAUUUAAAACAUGAAGUAUUAUUGGAAAGAAAUACAGGAGAUAAACUGUUCAGUAGAGCUUUGUUUUAUUGCAUCCUUAAACCGAACCCACGCAUGCGUAUACGGCAUCAAGCGUAACUCCGUGUUAACCCUUUAACGUCUUAAAGGCAUAUUACAACAGUGUGCAUGCAGCUUGUCGUUACUGGCAACGCGUCAGCGGAGUAAUACCGUUGUGGUGUGAAAAGCCCGUGCUGUUGUCACGAAUAUCAGCACGGUUAGAACGCUUCUCAACCAAUCAGAUUGUACGGUCGGAACUAACUGUUGUAUAAUGUUCUAUAUCCAAAACCUAUUGCUAUAAAAUAAGCAAGAGGUUCCAGGUUCCGUUCUUGGGGUGCUUAUGCCAUACACACUUUUUUUCUCUCCAUUUAAAAACACUUUACUCAGCCUUACCCACGAGGAACUUAAUUUGUUAAUUAGUUCAAUCAGGUUUUAAAUAAGUUAAAACAAAAAAAAGUGAUAUGGGAUCCCCAGGACUGGUAUAGGAACCCCUGAAUUAAACAAAGUCAUUACUAAUUUUGCGUACCCCCUUACAGAUUGGGCUACGAGAUUCAUCUCCUGUUGUGCUGACACACACAUGCAGUUCAUGUGUUGCAGGCACUGCCCUAUGCCCUAUGCAACAUAGUGGCUUUGCUUUUUCAAACUGCACAUUUCUCUCAGCUCAGUGUGCCAGUAGUUCCCCCUGUGCACAGCUGUACUGAAACUGAACAGGACUGGCACAAACCUCGGACAAUUGGUGUAAAGCCAGGACCAGUCAACAACAUGAUCACGAAACCUGUGCCAAAUCAAAAGUCUCAAGGCGUAGUUAGGAGUGGACUCUACAGGGGCAUGGUGGGCCCUUUACCGGAUCCAUGCAUGUUAAGAGUGGCAGAGGCUUAUGAAAAAUUCAGCCUUGAAGACAAGCCGCAUGGAACUCAACAAGCCAGCUCUGCAGUGUGCGUUUGGUAUAGUGCAGGAGGGCAGUGUUCUGUCAUAUCGGCAGCCUGUUUUACCCAUACGACACACCACGCUGCAUCCUGAUGUUCCAUCAACCCCACUUCUGCCUCUGAAAGACCACCACCUUGAUGCACCCACCUGUGCUUUUGUGUGCACUGAACAGGAGCUUAUUGAUAUGGCUCAAAAAAUUGAGGUGUCAACUCGGGAGCAGAGUUCUGACUGGCAUCUGCUCCGCAAGCCUAGAGUAACAAAUAAUGGAUAAAUAAUAAAUAAUAAUAAAUAUUGGAAAGAGAAUUUGUUUAGACUUAAUGUUUUAAUGUACAAAGAGUAUACCAAAUAUUUACAGAACCUGGUGUGUCUAAACUAUGGUCUUUUACAGUUCAAUAAAUACAUAAUUUGUGGACAGAAAUGAGAAAAUGUAAAUAUUGAAUAUUCUGUAUACUUAAUAAAUUAUAGGGCGGCACAGUGGCUGAGUGGGUAGCACUGUCGCCUCACAGCAAGAAUGUCCUGGGUUCGAUCCCCAGGUGGGGCGGUCCGGGUCCUUUCUGUGUGGAGUUUGCAUGUUCUCCCCGUGUCUGUGUGGGUUUCCUCCGGGUGCUCCGGUUUCCUCCCACAGUCCAAAGACGUACAAGUGAGGUGAACUGGAGACAUAAAAUUGUCUGUAACUUUUCAAAAUAACUUGUGAACUGAUGAAUCUUGUGUAAUGAGUAACUACCGUUCCUGUCAUGAAUGUAACCAAAGUGUAAAACAUGAUAUUAAAAUCCUAAUAAGACAAACAAACAAAAUUAAAUCAUAUGUUUACUUAAUAAAAGAUUGUUUGUGUUUUUGUGAAA